UAUGCUUUAAAAACGAUUGUAAA
This 23-nucleotide non-coding RNA is filed under the name Arabidopsis thaliana (thale cress). The record is from RNAcentral. Lineage: Eukaryota; Viridiplantae; Streptophyta; Magnoliopsida; Brassicales; Brassicaceae.